GUCCUUUUGUAUUAUAUAAAAGGUUUAACCUGCCCACUGAAUAAUUUAAAUGGCCGCAGUAUUUUAACUGUGCAAAGGUAGCAUAAUCAUUAGUUUUUUAAUUAAAAGCUUGUAUGAAAGGUUGGACGAGGUAAAAACUGUCUUUAUUUAAUUAAUUAUAAAAUUUAAUUUUUAAGUUAAAAAGCUUAAAUUUUUUUAAAAGACGAGAAGACCCUAUAGAUCUUUAUAUUUAUUAUUUUAUUUUUAAUUAAGAUUUAUUUAAGUUUUAUUAUAUUAAAUAUUUUAUUGGGGUAAUAAGAAGAUUAAAGAAAUUCUUUUAUAUAUUAUUCAUUGAUUAGUGUUUAAAUGAUCCAGUUUUAUUGAUUAUAAGAAUAAGUUACCUUAGGGAUAACAGCGUAAUUUUUUUAGAGAGUUCAUAUCGAUAAAAAAGUUUGCGACCUCGAUGUUGGAUUAAAGAUUAAUUUAGGUGUAGAUGUUUAAAUUUUUGGUCUGUUCGACCAUUAAAUCUUUACAUGAUCUGAGUUCAGACCGGUGUAAGCCAGGUCGGUUUCUAUCUUUAAUAAUAUAAUAUAUUUUAGUACGAAAGGACCAAAUAUAUAAUAUAUUAAUAUUUUAUAUUUUUGAAUAUUAUUAAUUACUUUGGCAGAUUAGUGUAAUGAAUUUAGAAUUCAUAUAUGUAAGUAUUUACAAGUAAUACUUGUUUUUUAUAGAUUUAUUAUUUUCUUUUAUUUGUAUAUUAUUAUU
This 744-nucleotide ribosomal RNA is filed under the name Metaglymma moniliforme. Its description in RNAcentral is "partial 16S ribosomal RNA". The stretch from base 1 to 581 matches the Rfam family "Bacterial large subunit ribosomal RNA", at positions 1819 to 2925 of the family's 2925-position model. The record is from RNAcentral. Lineage: Eukaryota; Metazoa; Arthropoda; Insecta; Coleoptera; Carabidae.